This is a long non-coding RNA of Mauremys mutica (yellowpond turtle), 929 nucleotides long. RefSeq lists it as uncharacterized. The transcript is spliced from 4 exons. Lineage: Eukaryota; Metazoa; Chordata; Testudines; Geoemydidae. The record is from RefSeq and is a predicted model, not a curated record.
AGUAUUCCAGAUAGAGUGUGUUCUAGGGAGUCCAUCAUAAGCUUUGAUCUGUCUGCAUCCACAGCUGGAAACUUUGCACCAGGCUCUGGAAGCAGCACGAACUGACAACAGUCGCCUCCAUCAGGAAAGUGAGUUAGUGGUUGCAAAUGUUAAUCAGUGGAUCAAAGAGCAAAAUGAACUACUGGAGUUGAUGGGAGAGCGAUUGGCCUGGUGGAUCGAUCGCUGCGUGUCAAUCCCCCGGAGCAGCAGCAGCACAUCCUCGGCCAUACUUGGAGGAGCUGUUUGAUACCCGAUGAGGAAUAGCCCACCGUGGAGCCUGCAGCAGACAGCACAGAAGCCACCCUGGAGCCUGAUACCUCAGCCUCUACUGACUGCAGUAUCUCCACAGCACACUGCAAUACAAACCUAGACCAACAUCCCUUCAUGGACCAUUCCAAGAUGAAGCGUUUGCAUGAUGAACUUAUGGUUGAAGGUCUGGACAGGGCCAACAAGUAGUCCCGUAUCAAAAACAGAAGGACUUAUGGCUAGAGAAAAGGCAUGGCAAGAGAUAAGGCUGAGACUGGCUGCACAGCCUGAGGACAGGGUUCAGUGUGGGAGCAGGCACUUGCUCCACAGUUCCUAGAACAGGAAAGGCGGCUAAGGAAGGAGGACAGAGCUCAGCAGAAAGAACCGUUUGAGUGGCUGAUAUCAAUAAUGGAUUACCCACUCCUGCUGCAUCACCCAAAACACGGCCUGAGUCCCCUGCAUGGUACUCUGGGAUUCAGUCCAGAAACAGCUUGGAAAACUCCAUGGCUGGGUAGCUCAUUCAAUCAUUCCCCCCGACUGGCUGGGCAGGGCAACUUUGCCCCAUGCUGUCCUCCAUAUUUACCUCCUACUCCAUGGAUGCUUCUACCCCUCUCCCAUCAUGUCAAGUGCACAGCAAAUGGAGA